GAGUUUGAUCCUGGCUCAGGAUAAACGCUGGCGGCGUGCCUAAUACAUGCAAGUCGAUCGCUGGAAACCUAGCUUGCUAGGUGGAAGGAGAGGCGAACGGGUGAGUAAUACAUAAGCAACCUGCCUACAAAGACUGGGAUAAUCUCUGGAAACGGGGACUAAAACCGGAUAGGUAAUAAGAUCACAUGAUCCUAUUAUUAAAGGUCAGAAACACUAGUAGAUGGGCUUAUGGUGCAUUAGUUAGUUGGUAAGGUAACGGCCUACCAAGACGAUGAUGCAUAGCCGGGCUGAGAGGCUGAACGGCCACAUUGGGACUGAGACACGGCCCAGACUCCUACGGGAGGCAGCAGUAGGGAAUUUUCGGCAAUGGGGGCAACCCUGACCGAGCAACGCCGCGUGAGUGAUGAAAGUCUUCGGAUUGUAAAGCUCUGUUAUAAGGGAAGAACGUCCUUGAUAGAAUCGAGGAGUGACGGUACCUUAUCAUAA
RNAcentral lists this ribosomal RNA (486 nucleotides) under uncultured bacterium. Its description in RNAcentral is "bacterial SSU rRNA". It matches the Rfam family "Bacterial small subunit ribosomal RNA", at positions 9 to 488 of the family's 1533-position model. The record is from RNAcentral.